GAUGAACGCUAGCGGGAGGCCUAACACAUGCAAGCCGAGCGGUAGAGUUUCUUCGGAAACUUGAGAGCGGCGCACGGGUGCGUAACACGUGUGCAACCUACCUUUAUCUGUGGGAUAGCCUUUCGAAAGGAAGAUUAAUACCCCAUAAUAUAAUGAUUGGCAUCAAUUAUUAUUGAAAACUCCGGUGGAUAGAGAUGGGCACGCGCAAGAUUAGAUAGUUGGUGAGGUAACGGCUCACCAAGUCAAUGAUCUUUAGGGGUCCUGAGAGGGAGAUCCCCCACACUGGUACUGAGACACGGACCAGACUCCGACGGGAGGCAGCAGUGAGGAAUAUUGGACAAAGGGUGAGAGCCUGAUCCAGCCAUCACGCGUGAAGGAUGACGGUCCUAUGGAUUGUAAACUUCUUUUGUACAGAGAUAAACCUACCCUCGUGAGGGUAGCUGAAGGUACUGUACGAAUAAGCACCGGCUAACUCCG
This 477-nucleotide ribosomal RNA is filed under the name uncultured bacterium. Its description in RNAcentral is "partial 16S ribosomal RNA". It matches the Rfam family "Bacterial small subunit ribosomal RNA", at positions 28 to 505 of the family's 1533-position model. The record is from RNAcentral.